GACGAACGCUGGCGGCGUGCUUAACACAUGCAAGUCGAACGGUGAAGCGCUUUCCUUUUUGUUGGGUGUGGAUGAGUGGCGAACGGGGGAGUAACACGUGUGUAACCUGCCUCAUUCUUCUGGAUAACCGCAUGAAAGUGUGGCUACGACGGGUUAUUCUCCGCCUACUGCUUGGUGGGCGUGGGAGAGAUUGUGCCUUGGUGUGGUUGCGGGGGGGGAUGGGCUCGCGGCCUAUCAGCUGGUUGGUGGGGUGAUGGCCUAGCAAGGCGGUGAAGGGUAGCCGGACUGAGAGGGUGGACAGUCCGACUGGGAGUGAGACACGGCCCAGACUGCUACGGGAGGCAGCAGUGGGGAAUAUUGCAGAAUGGGCGCAAGACUGAGGCCGCGGCGCGGAGUCAGGGAUGGGGGACUUCGGGUUAUGUACAUCUUCCGCCAGUGAAGCAGGCCUGCUGCUUGUGGGUGGGUUGACGGUAGCUGGAUAAGAAGCGCCGGCUAACUACGUG
This 503-nucleotide ribosomal RNA is filed under the name uncultured bacterium. RNAcentral describes it as "partial 16S ribosomal RNA". It matches the Rfam family "Bacterial small subunit ribosomal RNA", at positions 28 to 507 of the family's 1533-position model. The record is from RNAcentral.